AUUGAACGCUGGCGGCAUGCUUUACACAUGCAAGUCGAACGGCAGCGCGGGCUUCGGCCUGGCGGCGAGUGGCGAACGGGUGAGUAAUACAUCGGAACGUGCCCAGUCGUGGGGGAUAGCUCGGCGAAAGCCGGAUUAAUACCGCAUCCGACCUGAGGGUGAAAGCGGGGGAUCUUCGGACCUCGCGCUAUUGGAGCGGCCGAUGGCAGAUUAGCUAGUUGGUGGGGUAAAGGCCUACCAAGGCGACGAUCUGUAGCUGGUCUGAGAGGACGACCGGCCACACUGGGACUGAGACACGGCCCAGACUCCUACGGGAGGCAGCAGUGGGGAAUUUUGGACAAUGGGCGAAAGCCUGAUCCAGCAAUGCCGCGUGUGUGAUGAAGGCCUUCGGGUUGUAAAGCACUUUUGGCGGGAACGAAAAGGACUGUGCCAAUACCACGGUUCGAUGACGGUACCCGCAGAAUAAGCACCGGCUAACUACGUG
This 484-nucleotide ribosomal RNA is filed under the name uncultured bacterium. RNAcentral's name for it is "partial 16S ribosomal RNA". It matches the Rfam family "Bacterial small subunit ribosomal RNA", at positions 29 to 507 of the family's 1533-position model. The record is from RNAcentral.